UUGAAAGGGAAACGAUUGAAGUCAGUCGUACCGACGAGAAAUCAGCUCUUUGAGUGUGGACUUGUGGGCGUGCGUGAGCUUUACGGUCUCGCUGUUUGCAAUGUUUGUGCUUUUUGGGUGUACUUUUUCGUAUGGUAGGCCAACAUCAGUUUCGAAUAUCAUAAAAUGACCGGCGGAAUGUAGCUUCGAUCUCGUAUCGAAGUGUUAUAGCCUCUGGUAGAUGUGGUGUUUGGGACUGAGGAUUGCAACGAAUAUCCUUUGGGCUAUCCGUCUGAUCUCUGAAAGUUGCUUAGGUGCCGAAAGCGUGCUUACGGUUAUUCAAGUUGGCGGUCAAAAGGUUAGAACGUGAUUAAAUUCGUUAAGGAUGUUGACGUA
RNAcentral lists this ribosomal RNA (375 nucleotides) under uncultured Glomeromycotina. RNAcentral's name for it is "LSU rRNA". The record is from RNAcentral. Lineage: Eukaryota; Fungi; Glomeromycota.